Molecule: small nucleolar RNA, 132 nt
Organism: Equus asinus (donkey)
Lineage: Eukaryota; Metazoa; Chordata; Mammalia; Perissodactyla; Equidae
Gene: SNORA71
Rfam family: Small nucleolar RNA SNORA71
About the family: The members of this family belong to the H/ACA class of snoRNAs which bind a number of proteins (including dyskerin, Gar1p and Nop10p) to form snoRNP complexes. This class of snoRNAs are thought to guide the sites of modification of uridines to pseudouridines by forming direct base pairing interactions with substrate RNAs.
Source: Ensembl
CCCUGCAUUCGAAAGUGAUGUGGGCUGCCUGUGCCCUGGUCAUUGAUUGUGCAGGGAGAGGAAGUGCUGAAAGGCUUUCUCCGUGUUUGGAGGGCCCAUCCUGUCCCUUCCAAACCCUGGAGCUUUCCCACA